RNAcentral lists this unclassified non-coding RNA (352 nucleotides) under soil metagenome. Its description in RNAcentral is "partial contains 5.8S ribosomal RNA, internal transcribed spacer 2, and large subunit ribosomal RNA". The stretch from base 1 to 120 matches the Rfam family "5.8S ribosomal RNA", at positions 35 to 154 of the family's 154-position model. The record is from RNAcentral.
GAUGAAGAACGCAGCGAAAUGCGAUAAGUAAGGUGAAUUGCAGAAUUCAGUGAAUCAUCGAAUCUUUGAACGCACAUUGCGCCCGCCAGUAUUCUGGCGGGCAUGCCUGUUCGAGCGUCAUUACAACCCUCAGGCCCCCGGGCCUGGCGUUGGGGAUCGGCGGAGCCCCCCGUGGGCACACGCCGUCCCCCAAAUACAGUGGCGGUCCCGCCGCAGCUUCCAUCGCGUAGUAGCUAACACCUCGCGACUGGAGAGCGGCGCGGCCACGCCGUAAAACACCCAACUCUUCUGAAGUUGACCUCGAAUCAGGUAGGAAUACCCGCUGAACUUAAGCAUAUCAAUAAGCGGAGGA